RNAcentral lists this ribosomal RNA (468 nucleotides) under uncultured bacterium. RNAcentral's name for it is "partial 16S ribosomal RNA". It matches the Rfam family "Bacterial small subunit ribosomal RNA", at positions 28 to 507 of the family's 1533-position model. The record is from RNAcentral.
GACGAACGCUGGCGGCGUGCUUAACACAUGCAAGUCGAACGGAAAGGCCCUGCUUUUGUGGGGUGCUCGAGUGGCGAACGGGUGAGUAACACGUGAGUAACCUGCCCUUGACUUUGGGAUAACUUCAGGAAACUGGGGCUAAUACCGGAUAGGAGCUCCUGCUGCAUGGUGGGGGUUGGAAAGCUUCGGCGGUUGGGGAUGGACUCGCGGCUUAUCAGCUUGUUGGUGGGGUAGUGGCUUACCAAGGCUUUGACGGGUAGCCGGCCUGAGAGGGUGACCGGCCACAUUGGGACUGAGAGACGGACCAGACGCCUACGGGAGGCAGCAGUGGGGAGUAUUGCACAAUGGGCGGAAGCCUGAUGCAGCAACGCCGCGUGCGGGAUGACGGCCUUCGGGUGGUAAACCGCUUUCGCCUGUGACGAAGCGUGAGUGACGGUAAUGGGUAAAGAAGCACCGGCUAACUACGUG